Molecule: transfer RNA, 68 nt
Filed under: Nipponacmea fuscoviridis
Lineage: Eukaryota; Metazoa; Mollusca; Gastropoda; Lottiidae
Description: tRNA-His
Source: RNAcentral
GCAGGGCUAGUUUAUAUUAAAAUGUUGGUUUGUGGGGCUGAAGAAAGUGGCGUGUCUACUGCCUUGCU